This 518-nucleotide ribosomal RNA is filed under the name uncultured bacterium. RNAcentral describes it as "bacterial SSU rRNA". It matches the Rfam family "Bacterial small subunit ribosomal RNA", at positions 355 to 888 of the family's 1533-position model. The record is from RNAcentral.
UGGGGAAUCUUGGACAAUGGGGGCAACCCUGAUCCAGCCAUGCCGCGUGAGUGAUGAAGGCCUUAGGGUCGUAAAGCUCUUUCGCCUGUGAAGAUAAUGACGGUAGCAGGUAAAGAAACCCCGGCUAACUCCGUGCCAGCAGCCGCGGUAAUACGGAGGGGGUUAGCGUUGUUCGGAAUUACUGGGCGUAAAGCGCACGUAGGCGGACCAGAAAGUUGGGGGUGAAAUCCCGGGGGCUCAACCCCGGAACUGCCUCCAAAACUAUUGGUCUAGAGUUCGAGAGAGGUGAGUGGAAUUCCAAGUGUAGAGGUGAAAUUCGUAGAUAUUUGGAGGAACACCAGUGGCGAAGGCGGCUCACUGGCUCGAUACUGACGCUGAGGUGCGAAAGUGUGGGGAGCAAACAGGAUUAGAUACCCUGGUAGUCCACACCGUAAAACGAUGAAUGCCAGUCGUCGGGUAGCAUGCUAUUCGGUGACACACCUAACGGAUUAAGCAUUCCGGCCUGGGGAGUACGGUCG